ACAGAGGGGGCUAGCGUUGUUCGGAAUUACUGGGCGUAAAGGGCGCGUAGGUGGCCUGUUAAGUCGAACGUGAAAUCCCCGGGCUCAACCCGGGAACUGCGUCCGAGACUGGCAGGCUCGAAUCCGGGAGAGGGAUGUGGAAUUCCUGGUGUAGCGGUGAAAUGCGUAGAUAUCAGGAGGAACACCGGUGGCGAAGGCGGCUUUCUGGACAGAUACCGACGCUGAGGCACGAAAGCUAGGGGAGCAAACAGGA
This 253-nucleotide ribosomal RNA is filed under the name uncultured prokaryote. Its description in RNAcentral is "partial 16S ribosomal RNA". It matches the Rfam family "Bacterial small subunit ribosomal RNA", at positions 525 to 777 of the family's 1533-position model. The record is from RNAcentral.